CUCUCCAGUUGCGCCGAGCCCAGGACAGAGUGUGGCCUUUGUGAGGGGCGCAGGGAGGCCUGAGGAGUGGUCCCCCUCAGUCCUGGAGGUUGGGUGGCCUCUCUCCCCCCAGAGACCCUCUGUGGACACAGCCCGCAGCCUCGUGGAGCCCCUCCCUGAAGGCGAGGCCUGGCUGAGGCUUGCAAAGUUCCUGCUAUGCCCGGACUUCCCGCAUCUCGCCCCAGCAAUGCUAAAACCAGCAGGAAUAUACUAGUGUAUCUCCAGUGUCCAGAAGGGCGCCUUGCACACACAGGCACCUCCUUGAUCAAGGUUUGCUGGUGGGCCUAUCUUAGGAUGGUCACAGCUGCCGAAAUAGAUCUCUCCCCUCACCUGUUCUGAAGCAAAGAAGACCUUGAUAACUUCCUGUCAAAAGAAUGCAUGCUUUGAAACCACUCCCAGCCCGAAGGACGCCCCUCUGAUUCAGAGUGAAACACAUCCUCUGCCUCCUCACUCACCUGCCUCUCUCCGCCAAGUCCGCUCCUACAGAAUUCUCUA
Herpailurus yagouaroundi (jaguarundi) is the source of this 534-nucleotide long non-coding RNA. RefSeq lists it as uncharacterized. Lineage: Eukaryota; Metazoa; Chordata; Mammalia; Carnivora; Felidae. The record is from RefSeq and is a predicted model, not a curated record. The transcript is spliced from 4 exons.